Molecule: unclassified non-coding RNA, 334 nt
Filed under: Hevea brasiliensis (rubber tree)
Lineage: Eukaryota; Viridiplantae; Streptophyta; Magnoliopsida; Malpighiales; Euphorbiaceae
Source: RNAcentral
AAUUUUGUUGUUAGGAAACAAGAAGAAGAAAACCUAAACUAAGUUUAGGGAUUCUUACCCGAUGGGGCGCAGAAUCAAAUUCCACCCUCCGGGAGUUAAACCUCUAAAUGUCGGUCCUCUAAUAUGUUCACACAAACCUUGUGUUCAACCCUUAAAUGAAAACCUCCCUUGGUACACUCUCCUUGCUUAGCCAAGCAAAUACAAAGGAAGGGUAUGAGUUUUCUUGGGUUUUUCCUUUUGGGUCAUUAGAGAAAUAAUUUCUCUAACUUUGAUUUAAGAGUAAACACUUCUAAUGUCUCUUGAAUCAAUUAGAAGAAAGGAAGAAGAAGAAGAA